RNAcentral lists this long non-coding RNA (2478 nucleotides) under Triticum aestivum (bread wheat). RNAcentral's name for it is "long non-coding RNA (TAES_LNC011568)". Lineage: Eukaryota; Viridiplantae; Streptophyta; Magnoliopsida; Poales; Poaceae. The record is from RNAcentral.
UUUUUUAUUAAAGAGGUAAAUUUGGUCAUCAUAUGUCCUUGCCCACAACUAAACUAACUAAAACAUGAAUUUCGUUUUCAACGCGCAUAUGGAUUCAACAGAUCUGUGCGUCAUACGUCCUUGCAAAAUGUUAACCAUUUUCAUCGACAACUGGUUUUAGCGGGUCUCUGCUGAAUGGAAAGUAAAUCCUUGCAUGCAGACAAAUCCGAAAUCAAAAGAGGUAAGAAAUCGCUUCGGUCGGCGGCUGAGGAAACGCCUCUGUCACCCAGCUGAGGAACCGAGAAAGAAAGAAGGAGAUAGAGAGUCUCCGCUGGAUCCGCCCCCUGCCGCUUCAUAUUCAGCUCCUCACGGGCCACAAGCAUCGCUCUGCGUGGGCUGAGCUAAAUAUCUCCGUAUAUGCACAAUAAAGACAUGUUUUUUUCUUAGGUUUCUUAUCCUUUCCCUCUUUUUUUGCAGGAAAAAGAUGCACGGCCAGGUUUCUCAUGAUGAUAACCAUGUUUUCAAACUAGGCCUGUUCAUGUCACACAAAUAUUUCCUUUUUCCAAACCCAUUGCUAAAAAAAUACAAUCAUGCCAACUUUACUCUCUCAUCAUAGUGGCCAUAUUUUCAAACUGAACAUAUUCAUAUUAUGCAAAGUUUCCCCUUUUUCAGACUAUUAUUUAACAACAUAAUAAACAUGUUUAAAAAAUAACAUGAUUUAGUUGAAGGUUCUUGCAACAUGAAAUUAUUUUCAUCGACAACAUGUCUUCAGCAGGUCUCUGCGCCAUUUGACGCAACGGGUCAACUAGUUGAAGAUAAGGCAAAGAGAUGACCCAUUGUAGACAUGUUUUUUUGUCAUAUCUAAAUUACAUGCAAGACUUAAGAUAAAACUAUCUUAUCAACCAUUGUACAUGCCCUUCCAUAUCCACAGAUUUUAACAGCCGAGAGCGAUAGUCUAGGUUCUUAGACUUAGAACACUCACCAAUUCCACCCAGAUCAACAGCAGGUGUACACACAUCAUCUCCUAUCUCUAGUACAGUAGCUUUGUCAGGACUCUUAUUCACAUAAUCCAGAAUAAAAAUUUCAUGAACAACAUCAGAGAGAGCAGCAAUAUGGUAAUUAGAGCCAACAUAGACCUCCCUAGCAUUAUUAUCAGCAAUUGAUUGGUCAAUAAGAUUCGCUUUGUCUAACUCAUCAAUAGCAUGCUCCCCUUCUAUAAGUUUCUUCUCCUUCAUCAUUGUCCGCAUCCAGCGGACCAAAAGCACCCACUUAUUCAAACCCUUCAAAGGAACAGUUUCUUCUUCAUCUCAACAAGUCUUUCAAAAGGAAUUGCAAGUUACAAUCUGGCGCGAAAAAGUAGGAACUGCCUCUAAUGAUUUCGAGAAACAGGAUAAUACUGGGUUUCACCAAGUAAAAGAGGUAGCAUCAUCUUUCUUCCGAACCGGAAUGAACCACAUCGCACACAAAACCACAGGUGAAGAAAGUUGUUACAAGGAUCUGCUGCUCCAAACUUACAUUACAUGGUCUAACGACACAGAUCGCAUCCAUAUAUAUUUCGCUAUGUACAGUACAAACUUCACAUACACAUUAGCAAAGUGGCCAAUUAAAAAACAAGCGGGUGAAGAAAGAACGCGGCAAACUGAAGGAGCAUGCAGCAACUAGUGUACAGUCCGGCCGCUCCGCCACCGCCACGGGCACGCGGUAAACUGGCCGGCGGGAAACCUGGUCGAUCUCGUCUCACUUGGGCCCCCAGAGCAGCAGGUGCAUCACCUUGGCCGUCUUGCCGUUGCCGUGGCCGACGCCGUCCUCCGCGCGCCGCCCCAGCUCCCUCCCCGCCGCCGCGCCGGCACGGGGCAGGUGCUGCCUCUGCUCGCCGUCGCGCGCCGGCGCCCAGAUAGCCGGGAGCCGCGCCCACCCGCCCUCGCGCCCGUUGUCGCUCACGUUGUCCAUCCCGCCCGCUCGAUCCUCAGCUGGUCUGUACUCUGUACCCCGCUCUCAGCACGCGCACUCUGAGGUGUGGGCACAGCUUAGCCUCCUCCUGCACAGCCUCGCUCUUAUAAGCAGCAGCACAUGGGCAGCAGCGGCGAGGAAAAAAUAUCGGUUGCUUUGAAUGAAGCUCCGUGUAUGAUUGAGGCGAGCUAGUGGCCAGGAGCAUCCCGAUGAUCGGGCCAGAUUUUUCUGUUCCCUCGGCGGUGCGGCGCGGCGCGGCAUCGGGAUCUUUCCAUGUGGUGUCGCUACGUUAGCUCGGAGGUCAAGCCAUAGCCAUCGGAAUAAAUUCGCGGGUGAGGCAGUAAUCAGUGAGGCCCGCGCGCGUCGCCCUCGCCGGUGCGGCGAAUUUCCACAGGAUGCCCGCAUGUGGGGCACUCCUCCGGUGGUGGCGCUGUGGGCGCGGCUCGCCGUGUGGUCGCGGUCGAUGCGGUGGUGGCGACCGAUCGAAGGGAUCAUUGAUUCGCGUAGGUUGGAGAAAUCGGGUUCAUUCUUAUCGCGACAAAUCCAGAA